UACAGAGGUGGCGAGCGUUGUUCGGAUUUACUGGGCGUAAAGGGCGCGCGGGCGGCUCCGUGUGUCGGUUGUGAAAUCUCCGGGCUCAACCCGGAAAGUGCGGCCGAAACUGCGGAGCUGGAGCAAGGGAGAGGAAAGCGGAACUCAUGGUGUAGCGGUGAAAUGCGUUGAUAUCAUGAAGAACACCGGCGGCGAAGGCGGCUUUCUGGAACUUGGCUGACGCUUAGGCGCGAAAGUGGGGGGAGCAAAC
RNAcentral lists this ribosomal RNA (250 nucleotides) under uncultured prokaryote. Its description in RNAcentral is "partial 16S ribosomal RNA". It matches the Rfam family "Bacterial small subunit ribosomal RNA", at positions 524 to 773 of the family's 1533-position model. The record is from RNAcentral.